GUCAGUGUGGCCGAGUGGUUAAGGCGACAGACUCGAAUUAUGUAUAAUCGUUCAAGGACGAGUUUCAUAAAGACAUCUGUUGGGUUCGCCCGCAUAGGUUCAAAUCCUGUCGCUGACG
This is a non-coding RNA of Aspergillus avenaceus, 118 nucleotides long. Lineage: Eukaryota; Fungi; Ascomycota; Eurotiomycetes; Eurotiales; Aspergillaceae. The record is from the annotation of a GenBank genome assembly.